This 460-nucleotide ribosomal RNA is filed under the name uncultured bacterium. RNAcentral describes it as "partial 16S ribosomal RNA". It matches the Rfam family "Bacterial small subunit ribosomal RNA", at positions 338 to 795 of the family's 1533-position model. The record is from RNAcentral.
CCUACGGGAGGCAGCAGUGAGGAAUAUUGGUCAAUGGCCGGAGGGCUGAACCAGCCAUGCCGCGUGAAGGUCAGUGCCCUAUGGGCGUUAAACUUCUUUUGUGUGGGAGCAAUAAUGGUCACGUGUGGCCAGACGAGAGUACCGUACGAAUAAGCAUCGGCUAACUCCGUGCCAGCAGCCGCGGUAAUACGGGGGAUGCAAGCGUUAUCCGGAUUUAUUGGGUUUAAAGGGUGCGUAGGCUGUGAGGUAAGUCAGCGGGGAAAUGCCCCCGCUCAACGGGGUGAAGUGCCAUUGAUACUGCCUUGCUGGAAUGCGGAUGCCGUAGGAGGAAUGUGUGGUGUAGCGGUGAAAUGCAUAGAUAGCACACAGAACACCGAUUGCGAAGGCAUCUCACGAAUCCGCGAUUGACGCUGAUGCACGAAAGCGUGGGUAUCAAACAGGAUUAGAUACCCUUGUAGUC